RNAcentral lists this ribosomal RNA (579 nucleotides) under uncultured bacterium. Its description in RNAcentral is "bacterial SSU rRNA". It matches the Rfam family "Bacterial small subunit ribosomal RNA", at positions 102 to 694 of the family's 1533-position model. The record is from RNAcentral.
ACGGGUGAGUAACACGUGAGCAAUCUGCCCUUCACUUUGGGAUAACUUCCGGAAACGGAAGCUAAUACCGAAUACGACCACUUCACGCAUGUGAUGGUGGUGGAAAGUUCCGGCGGUGAAGGAUGAGCUCGCGGCCUAUCAGCUUGCUGGUGAGGUAAUGGCUCACCAAGGCUUCGACGGGUAGCCGGCCUGAGAGGGUGACCGGCCACACUGGGACUGAGACACGGCCCAGACUCCUACGGGAGGCAGCAGUGGGGAAUAUUGGACAAUGGGCGAAAGCCUGAUCCAGCAACGCCGCGUGAGGGAUGACUGCCUUCGGGUUGUAAACCUCUUUCAGCGGGGACGAAGCGAAAGUGACGGUACCCGCAGAAGAAGCACCGGCCAACUACGUGCCAGCAGCCGCGGUAAUACGUAGGGUGCGAGCGUUGUCCGGAAUUAUUGGGCGUAAAGGGCUCGUAGGCGGUUUGUCACGUCGGGAGUGAAAACUCAGGACUCAACCCUGAGCCUGCUUCCGAUACGGGCAGACUAGAGGUAUGCAGGGGAGAACGGAAUUCCUGGUGUAGCGGUGAAAUGCGCAGA